This 279-nucleotide ribosomal RNA is filed under the name Triticum aestivum (bread wheat). Its description in RNAcentral is "partial small subunit ribosomal RNA". Lineage: Eukaryota; Viridiplantae; Streptophyta; Magnoliopsida; Poales; Poaceae. The record is from RNAcentral.
AUAUAUCUCCCUGAUGGUGCUAAAUUCUAUACCUUCGGUCUUGCUGCCAUCUGCUGGGCAGUGUGGAACUGUCGAAACAGAGCAACCUUUGAGUUUAAGCUUCCUAAAACUCCUUUUGAGAUUGUGUUCUCUGCUUGUGUCUUCAUCACCUACUGGGCAGGUCUUUUGAAGGGGGCAGACCGUGAGGCGAUGGAGCAUGGGUCGCAGAUGCUGAGGAGCAGUACAAGCAAUAUGAUGAUGAUCUGCGCCGCUGCGACAGAAGAUUCGGCGACAACUUGA